This 5158-nucleotide long non-coding RNA is filed under the name Setaria viridis. RNAcentral's name for it is "long non-coding RNA (SVIR_LNC004236)". Lineage: Eukaryota; Viridiplantae; Streptophyta; Magnoliopsida; Poales; Poaceae. The record is from RNAcentral.
GUUGUUCCAAAUUCACUCCAGGAAAUAGGCCGACCUUCCCGACCCUUUACACUCAGGGUCUGGCGAGGCGGAGGAUCUCCCGACCCCGGGACUCGGGGCCGGGCGAGGCGGAGCGUCUUCCGACCCCUGGACUUUGGGAUCGGGCGAGUCGGAGCAUCUCCCGACCCCAGGACUCGGGGUCGGGCGAAUCGGAGAUCGACCCUCAAGGGGUCAGGCGCAUCCGACCCCAAGCUGGAGGUCGGACGAGACGGAGUCCCAGGCGCACCCGACUCCAGGACGAAGGACUCAAGGUCGGACAGGGAGGAGUUCCAUCCUCACACGUGACCAAGAGUCCGUACCGCUCAUUACCCCCUGUCUGGGUUUUCGGUACUAUAUAUACCGACACCCUUGCUAGGGUUUCGGGGCGACAGACAGAAGAUAGAAAAGAGAGAGAUCAUCAGAUUCUCUUGUAAGCCGCCGUAGGCGUGUAACCCCAAAACUCUUGAUAUAGUGAGAUUGUUGCCGGCUGGUGCCCGUGGUUUUUCCCUUUCACAUUGAAGGGGUUUUCCACGUAAAUCGUGUGUCUCUGUGCGGUUUUGAUUCUUUACUUCUUAUUUCAUACGCCGUUCGUUCCUAACAAGUGGUACCAGAGCUUUGGUUGCUGUUUGGAUUUCAUGUCGACGUCGAUGAAGUUUGAUCUACCGCUACUGAACUACGACACGCGGUUCUCGCUAUGGCAAGUCAAGAUGAGGGGAAUUCUGGCGCAAACUCAUGAUUAUGAUGAGGCGCUGGAAAGCUUCGGGAAGAAGACGAAGGCCGAGUGGACUCCAGAAGAGAUCCGCAAGGAUCAGAAGGCUCUCGCCUUAAUACAGUUGCAUCUUCAUAAUGACAUUUUGCAGGAGUGUCUGAAAGAAAAAACUGCUGCAGAAUUAUGGCUGAAACUGGAAUCGAUCUGUAUGUCCAAGGAUCUAACCAGUAAGAUGCAGAUGAAGAUGAAGCUGUUCACCUUGAAGAUGAAGGAAGAAGAUUCAGUGAUAAACCACAUCGCUGAAUUCAAGAAGAUCGUCGCCGAUCUAGUAUCAAUGGAGGUGAAGUAUGAUGAUGAGGACUUAGGUCUUUUACUGUUAUGUUCUUUGCCAACUUCGUAUACAAAUUUUCGUGACACCAUACUCUUGAGCCGUGAUGAACUAACCUUAAAGGAAGUUUAUGAGGCUCUCCAAUCAAGGGAGAAGAUGAAAGGUAUGGUGCAGAAUGACAGGACGUCGUCCUCCAGAGGCGAUGCUUUGCUUGUGAGAGGCAGAACUGAUAACAGAUCCUCCAAUGAUGAUGGAAGAAAAAACUAUGAAAGACGAGGCCGUUCAAAGUCCAAGCCGCAUGGUAACAAAAAAUUCUGUGUUUAUUGCAAGCUAACAAAUCACAAUGUUGAGGAUUGCAGAAAAGUACAGAAUAAGGAGAAGAAGAAAAACAAGUCGGCUGGUAAGGUCUCUGUUGCUGCUGCCGUGUCUGAUGAAGAAUCUGGAGAUAGUCUGGUUGUAUUUGCCGGUUGUGUUGCUGGUCAUGAUGAGUGGAUCCUUGAUUCCGCAUGUUCAUUUCAUAUUUGCAUUAACAGAAAUUGGUUUAGCUCUUACAAGGCUAUGCCGAAAGGGGAUGUUGUGCGGAUGGGAGAUAAUAGCCCGUGUGAUAUUGUGGGGAUUGGAUCAGUUCAGAUCAAGACUCAUGAUGGCAUGACACGCACUCUGAAAAACGUCAGGUACAUACCAGGGAUGUCCAGAAAUCUUAUUUCAUUGAGCACGCUUGAUGCAAAAGGUUACAAAUAUUCCGGUUCGGAUGGUGUUCUGAAGGUAUCAAGAGGUAAUCUCGUCUGCUUAAAAGGUGAUCUCAAUUCUGCUAAAUUAUAUGUCCUUAGAGGGUGUACUUUACCUGGUUCUGAUUCCGCUGUUGCUGCUGUUACUAAUGAGGAACCUAGUAAAACUAACCUUUGGCAUAUGCGUCUGGGACAUAUGAGUCACCUUGGUAUGGCUGAAUUGAUGAGGAGAAACCUACUGGAUGGCUGCACUUCGAGUAAAAUGAAGUUUUGUGAGCACUGUGUUUUCGGGAAGCAUAAAAGGGUACGUUUCAACACUUCUGUUCACACCACAAAAGGUACUCUUGAUUAUAUACAUGCUGACUUAUGGGGACCUUCUCGUAAGCCCUCGCUUGGUGGUGCUCGUUACAUGCUCACAAUUAUUGAUGAUUACUCUAGAAGGGUUUGGCCUUAUUUUCUGAAACAGAAAGAUGAUACUUUUGCCGCCUUUAAGGACUGGAAAGUCAUGAUUGAAAGACAAACUGAAAGGAAGGUGAAAUUGCUUCGCACUGAUAAUGGUGGAGAGUUUUGUUCGCGUGAAUUUAAUGAUUAUUGCAGAUCAGAAGGCAUUGUAAGGCAUCACACCAUACCCCAUACUCCACAACAGAAUGGUGUGGCUGAACGCAUGAACAGAUCCAUCAUAUCCAAGGCCCGUUGCAUGCUGUCCAAUGCCAGGAUGAGCAAGCGUUUUUGGGCUGAAGCUGCUAAUACUGCCUGUUACUUGAUCAACAGGUCGCCUUCUAUUCCACUAAAUAAAAGAACUCCCAUUGAGGUAUGGUCUGGUACGCCUGCUGAUUACUCACAGUUGAAAGUUUUUGGAUGCACUGCAUAUGCUCAUGUUGAUAAUGGAAAAUUGGAGCCUAGAGCUGUUAAAUGUCUUUUCCUUGGUUAUGGUUCGGGUGUCAAAGGCUAUAAAUUGUGGAACCCGGAAACAGGAAAGACCUUUCUGAGCAGAAGUGUUAUUUUCAAUGAAUCUGUGAUGUUUACUGACAACUUGCCCUCAGACCAAGUUCCAGACAAAGAACUGCAGCGUAUGCGCAUGCAGGUGGAGAACGCACGUGAUGAUGCUGAUAACCCCGACCCCUUGGUCUCGGGGUCGGAUGCGCCAGACCCCUUGGCUCCAGGGUCGGCUGAUGCUCAAGCACCAGACCCCUUGGCUCCGGGGUCGGAUGUUGCUGCGCCAGACCCCUUGGCUCUGGGGUCGGCUGUUGCUGAUGCGCCAGACCCCUCAGUCUCGGGGUCGGCUGAUGCUCAUGAUGAUGUCCAGCAAACUCCAGAGGAGGAUCUACCCAUUGCUAAACGCAAGUCCAAAAGGACUGUUGUCCCUCCUAACCGUCUUAUUGAAGAAUGUAACUUGUCUUACCAUGCUUUGAGUUGUGCUGAACAGGUGGAGAAUGUUCAUGAGCCAGCAACCUAUAAAGAAGCUAUUCAUUGUGAUGAUACUGAAAACUGGAUUUCGGCUAUGCAUGAGGAGAUGCAAUCUCUUGAGAAGAACAGUACAUGGGAACUUGUACCUUUGCCUAAGAAUAAGAAGGCCAUCCGCUGCAAGUGGAUCUUCAAGAGAAAGGAGGGUUUAUCUCCAAGAGAGCCUCCAAAGUAUAAGGCAAGGUUAGUUGCUAAAGGCUACAGCCAAAUUCCGGGUGUUGACUACAAUGAUGUUUUCUCUCCAGUGGUAAAACACAGUUCAAUUCGCACUUUCCUUAGUGUUGUUGCUUCACAUGAUCUUGAGCUUGAGCAGUUAGAUGUGAAGACUGCGUUUUUGCAUGGAGAGCUCGAGGAGGACAUAUACAUGGACCAACCAGAAGGCUUCACAGUGCCUGGCAAGGAGAAAUAUGUGUGCAAGUUGAAGAGAUCCUUGUAUGGUUUGAAACAGUCCCCUCGACAGUGGAACAAGAGGUUUGAUUCAUUUAUGUUAUCACACAGUUUUAAAAGAUCUAAGUAUGAUAGCUGUGUUUAUAUCAAGCAUGUUAAUGGAUCACCUAUAUACUUGCUGAUAUAUGUUGAUGAUAUGCUGAUUGCUGCCAAGAGUAAGAAUGAAAUCAAUAAGUUAAAGAAACUAUUGAGUAGUGGUUUUGAUAUGAAAGAUCUUGGUAGUGCUAAGAAAAUUCUUGGUAUGGAAAUUAGUAGAGACCGAAAUUCUGGUUUGCUAUUUCUUAGUCAACAGAAUUAUAUCAAGAAAGUUCUUCAGCGUUUCAACAUGCAAGAUGCUAAGGCUGUAAGUACUCCUAUUGCACCUCACUUCAAGUUGUCAGCUGCUCAGUGUCCUAGUACAGAUGCAGAGGUCAAAGACAUGUCAAAGAUUCCUUAUUCUAGUGCUGUUGGGUCCUUGAUGUAUGCCAUGGUUUGCUCUCGCCCAGAUUUGUCAUAUGCUAUGAGUCUUGUUAGUAGAUAUAUGUCUAAUCCCGGCAAAGAACAUUGGAGGGCAGUUCAGUGGAUUUUCAGAUACCUCAAAGGCACAGCAAAUUCCUGUUUAAAGUUUGGAAGAACUGAUGAGGGUCUUGUUGGCUAUGUGGACUCAGAUUAUGCUGCUGAUCUGGACAGGCGAAGAUCACUCACAGGUUAUGUGUUUACUGUUGGCAGUUGUGCUGUGAGUUGGAAGGCUACUUUACAGUCAGUUGUUGCUUUGUCUACUACUGAAGCAGAAUACAUGGCAAUUUGUGAAGCGUGCAAAGAACUGAUUUGGCUGAAAGGUUUGUACGCCGAGCUUUGUGGAGUUGAAGCUUGCAUAAGUUUGCACUGUGACAGCCAAAGUGCAAUUUACCUCACUAAAGAUCAAAUGUUCCAUGAAAGAACUAAGCACAUUGACAUCAAGUAUCAUUUUGUGCGUGAUGUGAUCGAAGAAGGUAAGCUGAAGGUAUGCAAGAUCAGUACUCAUGAUAAUCCUGCUGAUAUGAUGACAAAGCCUGUUCCUGUUGCUAAGUUUGAGCUGUGCUCGGGCUUAGUUGGUUUAAUCGGAUAGUCCAAGAGACUAUUGCUGGCACCAGUGUUUUUCUUGUCUUUGUUCUAUUCAGGAUGAAGGGUUGAUGAUACAAGAUGAAUUUGUCUCAAGGUGGAGUUUGUUGGAGUUGUUCCAAAUUCACUCCAGGAAAUAGGCCGACCUUCCCGACCCUUUACACUCAGGGUCUGGCGAGGCGGAGGAUCUCCCGACCCCGGGACUCGGGGCCGGGCGAGGCGGAGCGUCUUCCGACCCCUGGACUUUGGGAUCGGGCGAGUCGGAGCAUCUCCCGACCCCAGGACUCGGGGUCGGGCGAAUCGGAGAUCGACCCUCAAGGGGUCAGGCGCAUCCGACCCCAAGCUGGAGGUCGGACGAGACGGAGUCCCAGGCGCACCCGACUC